AGAGUUUGAUCCUGGCUCAGAUUGAACGCUGGCGGCAGGCCUAACACAUGCAAGUCGAGCGGUAGCACAGAGAGCUUGCUCUCGGGUGACGAGCGGCGGACGGGUGAGUAAUGUCUGGGAAACUGCCUGAUGGAGGGGGAUAACUACUGGAAACGGUAGCUAAUACCGCAUAACGUCGCAAGACCAAAGAGGGGGACCUUCGGGCCUCUUGCCAUCAGAUGUGCCCAGAUGGGAUUAGCUAGUAGGUGGGGUAAUGGCUCACCUAGGCGACGAUCCCUAGCUGGUCUGAGAGGAUGACCAGCCACACUGGAACUGAGACACGGUCCAGACUCCUACGGGAGGCAGCAGUGGGGAAUAUUGCACAAUGGGCGCAAGCCUGAUGCAGCCAUGCCGCGUGUAUGAAGAAGGCCUUCGGGUUGUAAAGUACUUUCAGCGAGGAGGAAGGCAUUGUGGUUAAUAACCACAGUGAUUGACGUUACUCGCAGAAGAAGCACCGGCUAACUCCGUGCCAGCAGCCGCGGUAAUACGGAGGGUGCAAGCGUUAAUCGGAAUUACUGGGCGUAAAGCGCACGCAGGCGGUCUGUCAAGUCGGAUGUGAAAUCCCCGGGCUC
Molecule: ribosomal RNA, 611 nt
Filed under: uncultured bacterium
Lineage: Bacteria
Description: bacterial SSU rRNA
Rfam family: Bacterial small subunit ribosomal RNA
Source: RNAcentral